AGGAGGAACAGCCCCAGUGGUGGGGCCAGCUCUAGAGCCCUGGAGUCAGCCCCCGCAGUAACUCCGGAGGUCUCCGCCUGCAGGGCCUGGAGGCUCCGGGGCGGG
This 105-nucleotide microRNA precursor is filed under the name Canis lupus familiaris (dog). Its description in RNAcentral is "mir-8834 microRNA precursor family". It matches the Rfam family "mir-8834 microRNA precursor family". Lineage: Eukaryota; Metazoa; Chordata; Mammalia; Carnivora; Canidae. The record is from Rfam by way of RNAcentral.